Molecule: small nuclear RNA, 100 nt
Organism: Nomascus leucogenys (northern white-cheeked gibbon)
Lineage: Eukaryota; Metazoa; Chordata; Mammalia; Primates; Hylobatidae
Source: Ensembl
UUGCUUUGGCAGCAUAUAAACUAAAAUUGGAACCAUACAGAGAUUAACAUGGCUCUUGAGCAAGGAUGACAUGCAAAUUCAUGAAACAUUUAAUAUUUUU